This 247-nucleotide ribosomal RNA is filed under the name uncultured bacterium. RNAcentral's name for it is "partial 16S ribosomal RNA". It matches the Rfam family "Bacterial small subunit ribosomal RNA", at positions 523 to 769 of the family's 1533-position model. The record is from RNAcentral.
AAACGUAGGAGGCUAGCGUUAUCCGGAUUUAUUGGGCGUAAAGCGCGUGCAGGCGGUCUAUCAAGUUGGAUGUGAAAGCUCCUGGCUUAACUGGGAGAGGUCGUUCAAAACUGAUAGACUAGAGAAUGGUAGAGGGAGGUGGAAUUCCGGGUGUAGUGGUGAAAUGCGUAGAUAUCCGGAGGAACACCAGUGGCGAAAGCGGCCUCCUGGGCCAUUUCUGACGCUAAGACGCGAAAGCUAGGGUAGC